This 431-nucleotide unclassified non-coding RNA is filed under the name Hevea brasiliensis (rubber tree). Lineage: Eukaryota; Viridiplantae; Streptophyta; Magnoliopsida; Malpighiales; Euphorbiaceae. The record is from RNAcentral.
CGAGACUGAGCUGUUUCUGUGCCUUGAAAUUUAUAAAGAAAGCAAGAAUGAGAUUUCGAUACACCAAACUCUCAAGUCAGUACAAGCCUAAUCAUAGCGACGAGUUAAUACAUUUUAGAAUGUGAUAAGCACGAUAAGCUUGAUUGUUAUUCAAGUAACACCUACCCAGUAAUUGUAAGUUCACCUACAUUGUCAGCAAUUAUUAGAAUUAAGCAUAAAUUUUGAAGAAUAAAAUCCAUUUCUUUUGAACUAAUACAUUAUUUUUCUUUCACAAUGCACAAAUUUAGCUUUGCAGCUUAAAGCCAAUUUCAAAGUCAAAUUCACCAAUGUAAAAGUAAACUAGCAAUCAUGAGAACUAAAGCUCAACUCUCAAAGUUAACCAAAUCAGUUUGGAAACAGAAACCACGAAAACGAAGCCAUUGGGUUCCAAG